Molecule: ribosomal RNA, 404 nt
Filed under: uncultured bacterium
Lineage: Bacteria
Description: bacterial SSU rRNA
Rfam family: Bacterial small subunit ribosomal RNA
Source: RNAcentral
UGGGGAAUAUUGCACAAUGGACGAAAGUCUGAUGCAGCAACGCCGCGUGGAGGAUGACACAUUUCGGUGCGUAAACUCCUUUUAUAUAAGAAGAUAAUGACGGUAUUAUAUGAAUAAGCACCGGCUAACUCCGUGCCAGCAGCCGCGGUAAUACGGGGGGUGCAAGCGUUACUCGGAAUCACUGGGCGUAAAGAGCAUGUAGGCGGAUUAAUAAGUUUGAAGUGAAAUCCUAUAGCUUAACUAUAGAACUGCUUUGAAAACUGUUGAUCUAGAAUGUGGGAGAGGUAGAUGGAAUUUCUGGUGUAGGGGUAAAAUCCGUAGAGAUCAGAAGGAAUACCGAUUGCGAAGGCGAUUUACUGGAACACAAUUGACGCUGAGAUGCGAAAGCGUGGGGAGCAAACAGG